UACGUAGGGGGUGAGCGUUGUCCGGAUCUACUGGGCGUAAAGAGCUCGUAGGCGGUUUGUCGCGUCUGUCGUGAAAGUCCGGGGCUCAACUCCGGAUCUGCGGUGGGUACGGGCAGGCUAGAGUGAUGUAGGGGAGACUGGAAUUCCUGGUGUAGCGGUGAAAUGCGCAGAUAUCAGGAGGAACACCGAUGGCGAAGGCAGGUCUCUGGGCAUUAACUGACGCUGAGGAGCGAAAGCAUGGGGAGCGAACAGG
RNAcentral lists this unclassified non-coding RNA (253 nucleotides) under uncultured Micrococcaceae bacterium. Its description in RNAcentral is "contains 16S-23S intergenic spacer region". It matches the Rfam family "Bacterial small subunit ribosomal RNA", at positions 524 to 776 of the family's 1533-position model. Lineage: Bacteria; Bacillati; Actinomycetota; Actinomycetes; Micrococcales; Micrococcaceae. The record is from RNAcentral.